RNAcentral lists this ribosomal RNA (457 nucleotides) under uncultured soil bacterium. RNAcentral's name for it is "bacterial SSU rRNA". It matches the Rfam family "Bacterial small subunit ribosomal RNA", at positions 26 to 478 of the family's 1533-position model. The record is from RNAcentral.
AGAUUGAACGCUGGCGGCAGGCCUAACACAUGCAAGUCGAGCGGUAGAGAGGUGCUUGCAUCUCUUGAGAGCGGCGGACGGGUGAGUAAUGCCUAGGAAUCUGCCUAGUGGUGGGGGAUAACGUUCGGAAACGGACGCUAAUACCGCAUACGUCCUACGGGAGAAAGCGGGGGACCUUCGGGCCUCGGCGCCAUUAGAUGAGCCUAGGUCGGAUUAGCUAGUUGGUGAGGUAAUGCUCACCAAGGCGACGAUCCGUAACUGGUCUGAGAGGAUGAUCAGUCACACUGGAACUGAGACACGGUCCAGACUCCGUACGGGAGCAGCAGGUGGGAAUAGUUGGAACAAGUGGGACGAAAGCCUAGACCCAGCCAUCGCCGCGUGUGUGAAGAAGGUCUUCGGAUUAGUAAAGCUACGUUUAAGGUAGGGAAGGUAAGGUUUGUAAACCUAAGUACGUUAG